UCUCCCUCUCUUUUUUUGAUUUGAUUUUUUUUUUAUUUCCUUCUUUUCUUCCUUUAUUUUUUUCCUUAUCUCUUUUUUUGCUUCUUAUCUUUAUUUUUUUUCUUCUUUUUUCUGUUUCCUUUUCUUUCUUUUUCUUUCAUUUCAUUCUUUCUUCUCCAUUCCUUUAUUUGUUUCUUUUUUUCUUUUUUUAUUUUAUUUUUUUUAUUUUAUCAUUCCUUCUAUCUUUUCUUUCUUCUUCAAUUU
Molecule: long non-coding RNA, 243 nt
Filed under: Elaeis guineensis (African oil palm)
Lineage: Eukaryota; Viridiplantae; Streptophyta; Magnoliopsida; Arecales; Arecaceae
Description: long non-coding RNA (EGUI_LNC001709)
Source: RNAcentral